UACGAAGGGGGCUAGCGUGGCUCGGAAUCACUGGGCGUAAAGCGCACGUAGGCGGAUUGCUAAGUCAGGGGUGAAAUCCUGGAGCUCAACUCCAGAACUGCCUUUGAUACUGGCGAUCUCGAGUUCGGGAGAGGUGAGUGGAACUGCGAGUGUAGAGGUGAAAUUCGUAGAUAUUCGCAAGAACACCAGUGGCGAAGGCGGCUCACUGGCCCGAUACUGACGCUGAGGUGCGAAAGCGUGGGGAGCAAACAGG
Molecule: ribosomal RNA, 253 nt
Filed under: uncultured bacterium
Lineage: Bacteria
Description: partial 16S ribosomal RNA
Rfam family: Bacterial small subunit ribosomal RNA
Source: RNAcentral